Molecule: long non-coding RNA, 1074 nt
Filed under: Equus asinus (donkey)
Lineage: Eukaryota; Metazoa; Chordata; Mammalia; Perissodactyla; Equidae
Description: lncRNA (ENSEASG00005026818.1)
Source: RNAcentral
GAGGACAGGUGCAAGCGCUCUUCCAUCAGCUCCCAGAUGACCUGGCGUUGCUUCAUUUUCUCUCUGCUUACUCGAGAGGCAAGGCUCUUGCCUGGGAUGGUUCCUAUAGUCAAGCGAGUCAGUGGAUCGGCUUCAAGGGAGCUGUCUGUUUGCCCAGCUGCUGCUCGUUUUCCACAGCAGCUCUCGUGCACCGUCCCUUCAUUUCCUACAGGAGUGUGCCCCGAAUUCCUAACCAGACUGUGAGCUUCUUGAGGUUUCACCGAGAGUUGGCUGAAAAAGGGCCCAGAGAGGGACUAAGGGAAAAAAUUUCCCAUACACCAACAUCAAGAAAGGAAAUGACAGGCUAUUGUUUGGCCAUAGUUCCUUGCUGCCUCCAGCACUGCCUCCACCCAUGCUGCAGCAACCAUGUUGCCAGUCAACCAAUCAGCAACAGUUUCACUCCAGUGACCGUGUGGCUAACAGUCAGCCAAUCAGCAACAGCUUCACUCCAGUGACCGUGUGGCUAACAGCCAGCCAAUCAGCAACAGCUUCACUCCGGUGACCGUGUGGCUAACAGCCAGCCAAUCAGCAACAGCUUCACUCCGGUGACCGUGUGGCUAACAGUCAGCCAAUCAGCAACAGCUUCACUCCGGUGACCGUGUGGCUAACAGUCAGCAAUCAGCAACAGCUUCACUCCAGCAACCACUGCUGCUGAACGUGAGGUUGCAGAAUCAGCAACAGCCACACUUCUGUAACCAUAUUUCCACAGCUAAAGAUGAACAAUCCAUGAACACUCCCACUUCUGAGAGUCUGUGCACCGCUGAGCCGCACGCUUCCCGAACACUCUACAACCAGUUGUUGCUUUGUUCAGUGUGCACCUCACAAGGAUGGCUCUCCCUUGUGUAGCAGACACUUGGGUCUCUGCACUGAGACACCGAGUGGGGGCCUCUUCCUCUUCCUUUUGGGGGUGGAGCAUCAGACACAGCAAGAGCCGCUUGCCAGAUAGAAUGAUGGCACCGUGAAGGCAGGCGCCAGGUCAGCCUUUCUCACUGUUCUAUCUCCGUUCUGCGGACAGCAGUAACAAAGAGGAGUAAC